CCAAUGAUGAGAAAUAUACCUUGAACCAAGGAUUAUGUUUAAUACAACUUUUUCUACCUGAGG
This 63-nucleotide small nucleolar RNA is filed under the name Vicugna pacos (alpaca). RNAcentral describes it as "Small nucleolar RNA SNORD112 (ENSVPAG00000018112.1)". Lineage: Eukaryota; Metazoa; Chordata; Mammalia; Artiodactyla; Camelidae. The record is from RNAcentral.